CUGGUAGACUGGAGGUGUGCAGAAGAAAGCAAGGCAAAGGCUUGCGUGGGAUUCCUUUGUCUAAGGAGUGUAACAAGGUCCUGAAACAAGACAAUAUGACAACCAUUGUUGAAAGACUUUGGGCCUUAAGAUAUAUAUGCAUUGAGCAGCUUUGGACUAACGGACACAACUCCAAUCGCACAGUACAUAUAGGGUGUGCUUUGACAGCGAAGGAGAAUGAUGAGAUUUGUACAGAAGCAGUAAUGGAGGGCACUGCUCAUUGGGAAGGUUCCAUGUGAGUGAUGGAGAAACUGCAGAGGUAUGGAUAGAAAGGUACUUUUCAUACUACUACCAUAUAAUAAACAUAGAAUCCAUAAAUCCAGCUAAUGAGUAAAAAUGUUCCUUAUUGCACCCCCCUUAGGAAAUUGUGUCCCCAACUAAAAAUGUUACAGUAAGAAUUGCCUUUAUUUAGAGAAUUUCAAGAAUUCUUUACUACAAAACAUCUAGUUGAGUUUACAGGACUAGAGAUGCCUUUGCCACUAUGAAGCAAAUGAACGGGUCCUCUUAAUGGAGUGGCAUCUGAGGGUCAUUGGAGGGUUGGCAGCAAAGUUGAGCAGGAUCUUCUCCUCCCACAUUUAGGGAGGCUGUUAAGCAAACACACAGCAUUAUUUUUCUGAAUGAUGGAAGGUUGAUGUGUUUGCGAUUUACAAGAUGGGUUUGAUGACAGUGACUUGGAAUUUUCAUUGGUGCUUCACAAGCCUUCAUGGGGAGGAGGAUAGUAUCACGAAGAGAGGCCACAAAGAUAUUGGGAUGGGGUGAGAACCCACCUCCCAGCAGCCCAGGUGGUGAUGCCUCUUCCUCUCCAGUUGGGAUGGAGCUUCAGCAUCCUGAUGUGGUCUCCAGGAUGCAUGCUGUGACAUGGGAUGUGAUGGCAUCCCUUGCCACACAGCACCUCUGCCAAGCAUGCUCCUUUGGGACAUAGAAUGAAUUUCUCAUCUGACCUUAAAUACAAACUCUGUGCCUAAAUGUCAUGGUCAGACAUCUAGACCCUUUUCUUUCAGCCUGUCCCCUCUCUGAAAGUAGAAUUACCUCCCUCCAGCUAUAAAGACAUCGAAAAAUGAAAACUCCAAACUCAGAAUUUCACAGCAACAGACACCCAGGUGGUUUAGGUAUGUUUAUACGAGAGGCUUCUGAGACACAUGCUCAAUGACCUGUUGAGUGGCCAGGCCCUAACUUUCAAAUAUGAGAGUACCCAUGUGUGGCUGAGCUCAUUGGUUCCACUCAAAAUCUGAUGAGCAAUCUGGUGGCUGUCUAGGGCCUCUGAGGAUUUUGCCACAGGGUAAUCAGAGUAUG
RNAcentral lists this long non-coding RNA (1332 nucleotides) under Cricetulus griseus (Chinese hamster). RNAcentral describes it as "lncRNA (ENSCGRG00015029134.1)". The record is from RNAcentral. Lineage: Eukaryota; Metazoa; Chordata; Mammalia; Rodentia; Cricetidae.